This is a long non-coding RNA of Etheostoma spectabile (orangethroat darter), 94 nucleotides long. RefSeq lists it as uncharacterized. The record is from RefSeq and is a predicted model, not a curated record. Lineage: Eukaryota; Metazoa; Chordata; Actinopteri; Perciformes; Percidae. The transcript has 3 exons.
AAAAGAAGUUGUUGGUAACACUUUAUUUGAAGGGGUGUGCAUAAGACUGACCUGACACCGUCAUUAUUAUGACAUGACACCUAUCAUGAACAUG